GAUGAACGCUGGCGGCAUGCCUAAUACAUGCAAGUCGAACGAAGCACUUGUGCUUAGUGGCGAACGGGUGAGUAAUACGUAAGCAACCUGCCCUAAACACGGGGAUAACUACUGGAAACGGUAGCUAAUACCCGAUAGGUCAUAAAGUGGCAUCACUUAAUGAUUAAAGGUCCCUUCAAGGACCAGUUUGGGAUGGGCUUAUGGCGCAUUAGCUAGUUGGUGAGGUAACGGCUCACCAAGGCGAUGAUGCGUAGCCGACCUGAGAGGGUGAUCGGCCACAUUGGGACUGGGACACGGCCCAAACUCCUACGGGAGGCAGCAGUAGGGAAUUUUCGGCAAUGGGGGGAACCCUGACCGAGCAACGCCGCGUGAAGGAAGAAGGUAUUCGUAUCGUAAACUUCUGUCAUAGAGGAAGAACGACUAGGGUAGGGAAUGACCCUGGAGUGACGGUACUCUAAGAGGAAGCCACGGCUAACUACGUGCCAGCAGCCGCAGUAAUAC
This 501-nucleotide ribosomal RNA is filed under the name uncultured bacterium. Its description in RNAcentral is "bacterial SSU rRNA". It matches the Rfam family "Bacterial small subunit ribosomal RNA", at positions 28 to 526 of the family's 1533-position model. The record is from RNAcentral.